GAUGAACGCUGGCGGCGUGCCUAAUACAUGCAAGCCGAGCGAACGGACGAGAAGCUUGCUUCUCUGAUGUUAGCGGCGGACGGGUGAGUAACACGUGGAUAACCUACCUAUAAGACUGGGAUAACUUCGGGAAACCGUAGCUAAUACCGGAUAAUAUUUUGAACCGCAUGGUUCAAAAGUGAAAGACGGUCUUGCUGUCACUUAUAGAUGGAUCCGCGCUGCAUUAGCUAGUUGGUAAGGUAACGGCUUACCAAGGCAACGAUGCAUAGCCGACCUGAGAGGGGGACGGCCCAAAGGGGACAGGAGACCCGGCCCAGACCCCUAGGGGGGGGACGGGGGGGAAUCCGCCGCAAAGGGGGAAAGUCUGGAGGGACAACCCCGGGGGGAGGGAGAAGGUUUUUGGGUCGGAAAAACUUUUUUAUUAGGAAAAACAAUUUGGGAAAGUACCUGUGCACAUCUGGCGGGUCCCUAAUAAAAAGCCCAGGCCAACCUCCGUC
This 497-nucleotide ribosomal RNA is filed under the name uncultured bacterium. Its description in RNAcentral is "partial 16S ribosomal RNA". It matches the Rfam family "Bacterial small subunit ribosomal RNA", at positions 28 to 508 of the family's 1533-position model. The record is from RNAcentral.